This 274-nucleotide long non-coding RNA is filed under the name Elaeis guineensis (African oil palm). RNAcentral's name for it is "long non-coding RNA (EGUI_LNC042135)". Lineage: Eukaryota; Viridiplantae; Streptophyta; Magnoliopsida; Arecales; Arecaceae. The record is from RNAcentral.
GCUGAUAUAAAGCAAUAGCAAGCAAAAUCUGGAUGGAUAUUUCUGUUAGCAGCCUAUUGGGUCACACUCAUAAGUGCAUCAACCAAAGACCGCACUUGAUUGAUAUACAUUGAGUCCAUCUCAGAUUUUAUAGCUGCAAGCCAUCUGUCAAAGUCACUACUCAUGAUUAUUUUUGAAUAGAUCAUGAGAUUAUCAUUCUCAAUGAUGUAUGACUUUCAUAUUUGAGUCAUACAUUACACACUCUGAUUAACCUUCAGAGAGGAGAUGUGUGUCG